RNAcentral lists this ribosomal RNA (2574 nucleotides) under Triticum aestivum (bread wheat). Its description in RNAcentral is "partial small subunit ribosomal RNA". Lineage: Eukaryota; Viridiplantae; Streptophyta; Magnoliopsida; Poales; Poaceae. The record is from RNAcentral.
AUGGAUGAUCUGCCAGAUGGUGAAGGGCAAUCUGAUACACACUCUACUGAUGCAAAUUGGCUGUCCUCACAUGAAGAGCAUAAGUUCCAAUCCAUUUCCUUGGCUAAGCAGGACCACAAUUCGGAUUUGGCAGAUUCUUCUCUUAACUGUAUGAAAAGUGACCAUUCAUUUUGCGCUUCUCAGGAAUUAUGGUCUACUGGAUCUCUAUCGAGUCCAAUACCCAAUGGAUUUUACUCAAUUAUACCGGAUAAGAAACUGAAGGAGUGUUUUGACGCCAUUCCUUCUCCUGAUGAUCUAUAUUCCCUUGGAAUAGAGGGCUUCAAGGCUGAGAUAAUUCUUGUGGACUUAGAGAAGGAUAAAAAGCUAUCUGCGAUAAGGCAGCUAUGUGUAGCUCUGGUAAAAGGAUUGAGUUCUAACCCAGCCGCAAUGAUAAAAAAGCUUGCAGGUUUGGUUUGUGACUUCUAUAAGCGACCAAACCCACAGCUAAGCCCUGCAAGAACUUCUUCUGAAGAAAUUUUUCAUUUCAUGGAAAACAAGGGAAUUCAAUUAUUGGGGCAGAUAAGACAUGGAUCUUGUCGGCCCAGAGCAAUUUUAUUUAAAGUCCUUGCUGACUCUGUUGGUAUAGAUUCUAAGCUGUUGGUGGGCAUUUCAGAUGAAGAAUCUCAUGAACACGAUGACUCACCCAAACAUAUGACUGUUGUUGUUAUGCUGAAGUCCAUGGAGUUCCUCGUUGAUCUAAUGCGUUUUCCAGGACAACUAAUUCCAUUCUCAUCCAAAGCUAUAAUCACAUCCCAUAUAUCUGCUGCUGGAGAGAGUGACUCUGCUGACUAUGAUUCUUGUGAUUCUCCUCUUGAACCGAAUAGUCCUUUGUGCUCUCAACGGCAAGAGCAAGAUGAAAACAAUAGGUCAUUUAAAGUUACGUCCCUAAGAGACAUCAUGCGCCGAACUUCAAACUCUAUGGAGGGCAAAUUGAGAUGUUCAUCACAUAGUGAACCAAAUGUUGCCAAUGCCUUAUGUGGACGCCGUGGGAGGAAAGCUAAUGAACAUCAAAGAACUGCCAGUUCAAGUCCAGACCAUCCAUUGUCCAGAGCACAUGGGCGCUCAAACUUGGGUGAUAGACAGUACGGAGAUGGUGUAGCUGUAUCAAGGUCAGAUGGUGCAUCAACGUCAAGUGCGCGGAGAGGACGUCCAAAAAGUAUGAGUACAUCCCCUGAAAUUGGUGAUGACUUUGCGAGGUGUAUUCACAUUUGUGGUGUUUGUCUUUGGGGCGUCCUCUGUAGCAAGAUCUCUUGUCGGCUGUGCCAUGUUGCCUAUGUGGAGUCUUCACCACCGGUUCUUGUCCCGGGUGCUGAUCCAGCAGCUGUGAGGCUUCCAAUGUUGCUGAUGAUGCUACUGUUGCUGCCUAUGAGUAGAAGGUGUCUGACUACCAGGGCAGUUAAAGAAAUGAGUGAAAGCAUGAGGAAAAAUCGCCAUUCAAGGGCACAUAAUGAUGGUAGUCCAGGACAUUCAAAUGAUUCACAGAGAAAAGAGGAAGCAGUAGGUGACCUCAACAAUGAUGAGGUGUCAGUAAGAGAACCAAAUGUUCAGGAGGGUUCAAGAAGGCACAUUAUUACUCAGAAGGCAUUGUCAUUACCUUCAUCACCGCAGCGGUUAGGUAACCAUGGUUCUAAUCUUAGAGAGCCAGCUGACUUCCUUACAGCAGAAGAUCUGAUGUCCACUUGGAAUAAAGCAUUGCAAUCUUCACCAUUUCUGAACAAGCCAUUAUUGCCUUUUGAAGAAUGGCAUAUUGGGUUCUCAGAGAUUGCUGUUGGCACUCGUGUUGGAAUAGGUUUUUUUGGGGAAGUUUUCCGUGGCAUCUGGAAUGGAACAGAUGUAGCUAUAAAAGUAUUUCUGGAGCAAGAUUUAACAAUGGAGAAUAUGGAAGAUUUCUGCAAUGAGAUCUCCAUACUUAGCCGUCUCCGACAUCCCAAUGUCAUAUUGUUCCUUGGUGCAUGUAUGAAGCCUCCUCACUUAUCCCUAGUCACUGAAUAUAUGGAAAUGGGUUCCUUGUACUAUUUGAUUCACACAAGUGGCCAGAAAAGUAAGAUCAGUUGGCGAAGGAGGCUAAAAAUGCUCCGUGAUAUCUGUAGGGGUCUUAUGUGUAUGCACCGUUUGAAGAUAGUUCAUCGUGAUCUAAAGAGUGCGAAUUGCCUUGUUAACAAGCACUGGACAGUCAAGUUAUGUGAUUUUGGGCUCUCUCGGUUAUUGUCGAAUUCUGCAAUGAGUGACAACUCAUCUGCAGGCACUCCAGAGUGGAUGGCUCCUGAGCUUAUUCGUAACGAACCAUUUACAGAAAAGUGUGAUAUCUUUAGCCUCGGAGUUAUCAUGUGGGAGCUUUGCACUCUGAGUAGGCCCUGGGCAGGAAAGCCGCCAGUUCAGGUUGUUUACUCUGUUGCGAACGAAGGGGCAAGAUUGGAAAUACCAGAUGGACCUCUGGGUAGCUUGAUAGCAGAUUGCUGGACAGAACCGGAGAAGCGACCAAGCUGCCAGGAGAUCCUGACCCGUUUGCUUGAUUGCGAGUACACCUUAUGUUGA